GGAAUAUUGCACAAUGGGCGAAAGCCUGAUGCAGCGACGCCGCGUGAGGGAUGACGGCCUUCGGGUUGUAAACCUCUUUCAGUAGGGAACAAGGCCAGGCAUUGUCUGGUUGAGGGUACUUGCAGAAGAAGCGCCGGCUAACUACGUGCCAGCAGCCGCGGUAAUACGUAGGGCGCAAGCGUUAUCCGGAAUUAUUGGGCGUAAAGAGCUCGUAGGCGGUUUGUCGCGUCUGCCGUGAAAGUCCGGGGCUCAACUCCGGAUCUGCGGUGGGUACGGGCAGACUAGAGUGAUGUAGGGGAGACUGGAAUUCCUGGUGUAGCGGUGAAAUGCGCAGAUAUCAGGAGGAACACCGAUGGCGAAGGCAGGUCUCUGGGCAUUAACUGACGCUGAGGAGCGAAAGCAUGGGGAGCGAACAGGAUUAGAUACCCGAG
This 431-nucleotide ribosomal RNA is filed under the name uncultured Arthrobacter sp. RNAcentral's name for it is "bacterial SSU rRNA". It matches the Rfam family "Bacterial small subunit ribosomal RNA", at positions 358 to 790 of the family's 1533-position model. Lineage: Bacteria; Bacillati; Actinomycetota; Actinomycetes; Micrococcales; Micrococcaceae. The record is from RNAcentral.